ACGUGAAAAGGGGGAACCCCUGCUCCGCCCUCCCGCUGCUGUAUGAUGAAGGCCUCCGGGCCGUAAAGUACUCUUUGGCAGAGAAGAAAAGGUAUCCCCUAAUACGGGAUACUGCUGACGGUAUCUGCAGAAUAAGCACCGGCUAACUACGUGCCAGCAGCCGCGGUAAUACGUAGGGUGCAAGCGUUAAUCGGAAUUACUGGGCGUAAAGCGUGUGUAGGCGGCUCGGAAAGAAAGAUGUGAAAUCCCAGGGCUCAACCUUGGAACUGCAUUUUUAACUGCCGAGCUAGAGUAUGUCAGAGGGGGGUAGAAUUCCACGUGUAGCAGUGGGGGUGCGGGAGAUAUGUGGAGGAAUACCGAUGGCGAAGGCAGCCCCCUGGGAUAAUACUGACGCUCAGACACGAAAG
RNAcentral lists this ribosomal RNA (407 nucleotides) under uncultured bacterium. Its description in RNAcentral is "bacterial SSU rRNA". It matches the Rfam family "Bacterial small subunit ribosomal RNA", at positions 364 to 759 of the family's 1533-position model. The record is from RNAcentral.